AGAGUUUGAUCCUGGCUCAGGACGAACGCUGGCGGCGUGCCUAACACAUAGCAAGUCAGAGCGAGGGAUCACAUCAUGAAGUUUUCGGAUGGAUUGGUGUGAUUCUAGCGGCGGACGGGUGAGUAACGCGUGAGCAACCUGCCUAUCACAGGGGAAUAACGCAUCGAAAGGUGUGCUAAUACCGCAUGAGACCACAGGAUCGCAUGGUCAAGGGGUCAAAGAUUUAUCGGUGAUAGAUGGGCUCGCGUCUGAUUAGCUAGUUGGUGAGGUAACGGCCCACCAAGGCGACGAUCAGUAGCCGACCUGAGAGGGUGAUCGGCCACAUUGGAACUGAGAAACGGUCCAAACUCCUACGGGAGGCAGCAGUGGGGAAUAUUGGGCAAUGGGCGCAAGCCUGACCCAGCAACGCCGCGUGAAGGAAGAAGGUCUUCGGGUCGUAAACUUCUGUUCUGAGGGAAGAAGAAAGUGACGGUACCUGCAGAAGAAGCCCCGGCUAAAUACGUGCCAGCAGCCGCGGUAAUACGUAUGGGGCGAGCGUUAUCCGGAUUCAUUGGGCGUAAAGCGCGCGUAGGCGGCUCGCCAAGCGGGACCUCCAAUCCCGGGGCUCAACCCCGGGCCGGGUCCCGAACUGGCGGGCUCGAGUUCGGUAGGGGGAGGCGGAAUUCCCAGUGUAGCGGUGAAAUGCGUAGAGAUUGGGAGGAACACCAGUGGCGAAGGCGACUUACUGGACUGUAACUGACGCUGAGGCGCGAAAGUGUGGGGAGCAAACAGGAUUAGAUACCCUGGUAGUCCACACUGUAAACGAUGAAUGCUAGGUGUAGGGGGUAUCGACCCCUUCUGUGCCGGAGCUAACACAAUAAGCAUUCCGCCUGGGGAGUACGGCCGCAAGGUUGAAACUCAAAGGAAUUGACGGGGGCCCGCACAAGCAGCGGAGCAUGUGGUUUAAUUCGACGCAACGCGAAGAACCUUACCAGGUCUUGACAUCCAGGUAAAGCGGUAGAGAUACCGUGUGUGCUUGCACAAUCUGAGACAGGUGGUGCAUGGUUGUCGUCAGCUCGUGUCGUGAGAUGUUGGGUUAAGUCCCGCAACGAGCGCAACCCUUACUAAUAGUUACUAACACGUGAAGGUGAGGACUCUAUUGGGACUGCCGGGGACAACUCGGAGGAAGGUGGGGACGACGUCAAAUCAUCAUACCCCUUAUGACCUGGGCUACACACGUGCUACAAUGGUCGUUACAGAGAGAAGCGAAAUCGCAAGGUAGAGCGGAUCUCAAAAAAGCGAUCCCAGUUCGGAUUGUGGGCUGCAACCCGCCCACAUGAAGUCGGAGUUGCUAGUAAUCGCGGAUCAGCAUGCCGCGGUGAAUACGUUCCCGGGCCUUGCACUCACCGCCCGUCA
This 1395-nucleotide ribosomal RNA is filed under the name uncultured bacterium. RNAcentral describes it as "bacterial SSU rRNA". It matches the Rfam family "Bacterial small subunit ribosomal RNA". The record is from RNAcentral.